UACGUAGGGUGCGAGCGUUUAAUCGGAAUUACUGGGCGUAAAGCGUGCGCAGGCGGUUCGUUGUGUCCGAUGUGAAAGCCCCGGGCUUAACCUGGGAAUGGCAUUGGAAACUGGCGAGCUUGAGUGCGGCAGAGGGGGGUGGAAUUCCGCGUGUAGCAGUGAAAUGCGUAGAGAUGCGGAGGAACACCGAUGGCGAAGGCAGCCCCCUGGGUCGACACUGACGCUCAGGCACGAAAGCGUGGGGAGCAAACAGG
This 254-nucleotide ribosomal RNA is filed under the name uncultured bacterium. Its description in RNAcentral is "partial 16S ribosomal RNA". It matches the Rfam family "Bacterial small subunit ribosomal RNA", at positions 524 to 776 of the family's 1533-position model. The record is from RNAcentral.